GUGGGGAAUAUUGGACAAUGGGCGAAAGCCUGAUCCAGCCAUGCCGCGUGUGUGAAGAAGGUCUUCGGGUUGUAAAGCACUUUUGUCCGGAAAGAAAUCCUUUGGGUUAAUACCUCGGAGGGAUGACGGUACCGGAAGAAUAAGGACCGGCUAACUACGUGCCAGCAGCCGCGGUAAUACGUAGGGUCCGAGCGUUAUCGGGAUUACUGGGCGUAAAGCGUGCGCAGGCGGUUUUGUAAGACAGAUGUGAAAUCCCCGGGCUUAAACUGGGAAUUGCAUUUGUGACUGCAAGGCUAGAGUGUGUCAGAGGGGGGUAGAAUUCCACGUGUAGCAGUGAAAUGCGUAGAGAUGUGGAGGAAUACCGAUGGCGAAGGCAGCCCCCUGGGAUAACACUGACGCUCAUGCACGAAAGCGUGGGGAGCAAACAGGAUUAGAUACCCGAGUAGUCC
Molecule: ribosomal RNA, 449 nt
Filed under: uncultured bacterium
Lineage: Bacteria
Description: partial 16S ribosomal RNA
Rfam family: Bacterial small subunit ribosomal RNA
Source: RNAcentral